CAGCCGCCACGGGAAUACGAAGGGGGCUAGCGUUGCUCGGAAUUACUGGGCGUAAAGGGAGCGUAGGCGGAUGUCUAAGUCAGAGGUGAAAGCCCAGGGCUCAACCUUGGAACUGCCUUUGAUACUGGACAUCUUGAGUGUGGGAGAGGUAAACGGAACUCCGAGUGUAGAGGUGAAAUUCGUAGAUAUUCGGAGGAACACCAGUGGCGAAGGCGGCUUACUGGCCCAUUACUGACGCUGAGGCUCGAAAGCGUGGGGAGCAAACAGGAUUAGAUACCCCUGUAGUCCCUGUCUCUUAUAC
RNAcentral lists this ribosomal RNA (301 nucleotides) under uncultured bacterium. RNAcentral's name for it is "partial 16S ribosomal RNA". It matches the Rfam family "Bacterial small subunit ribosomal RNA", at positions 509 to 807 of the family's 1533-position model. The record is from RNAcentral.